Long non-coding RNA from Harpia harpyja (harpy eagle), 693 nucleotides. RefSeq lists it as uncharacterized. The transcript is spliced from 3 exons. Lineage: Eukaryota; Metazoa; Chordata; Aves; Accipitriformes; Accipitridae. The record is from RefSeq and is a predicted model, not a curated record.
AUUUAAGUGGUCAAAAGGCAAAUAGUUAUUUCCCUGUAUCACUGGGGCCCACGUCCCGCACCGGAGACCGGCGGGGGAGACGCCUGCGCGACCCCGGGGACAGCAGCAGCGACACCGCCGCCAUCUUAGCGCGCUGCCAUCCCCUCCUGCCCCGUUUCCCGCCGCGCCGCGUUCUGAUUGGACAACGGGAGCGCCAAUCUCCCGCCCCUCGCUCUGUGAUUGGCCACAAUCCCUGUUAGCCUUCCCUGAUCGCUACCGCUCCUACGGGUACGCGGCGGGGGUCAAACGCUGGGCGGGACUCCGCCUUCCCCCCUCGAGGCCCCGCCCGAUGGGGGGCGGUGCCUGUUGCUGGGGUAACGCGGGCAGGGAGGGUGCCCGGAUGCGGUUCGAUCGCAACAUGGCGGUGGCCGAGUGAGCUGGGGGGAGUGGCAGCCCUGGGCUCGUCGUGAGGGCAUCUUUCACCGGAGGAUCCCGGCAUGCUUAGCUGAGUCGAAAAAGAGUUUUCCCUUCCUCGCAGACAGUCAGGGCUGUCUUGCCGCACAUUGUGCCAGGGCAGUGGGAUGGUGCUGGGGUGUCCCGCUCUGCGGCUCAGUGCCCCCCCCCAGCAGGACGGAGGAGACGUGGCCUCGUGAAAGACUCCUCUUUGGCAGCAAAUGUCUCGCUGUGGCUGCAGGUAAAACACCUGGGGCUGUU